GUGUCAUUUAUGUGGCAGAUACUGAUUGGAUGCUGUGGAGUGCGGGGCCCCGUUUACAGAACUCAAGGGGUACCUCCUCCCUACCAAGAGCCACAAUCAACAUGACUGAGGCUUCCAGAGCAGGAAUAAGUCGCAAGAUGAGCUUCGCAACAUCGGUCUUGUCUCUCCGAAGUCUGCCGAGACAUGCGGAAAACCUCAGGGCAAGCUCAGCAUGUUCAGCCCUAUUGCAGCGGAGCCCUCGCUCUAGGUUUUAUACAUUUAGGAUAUAAAACAAUGAAGAAAACCCCUGUCUUUAAAGAAGAUGCUGCCAGCCACCAGCCUUAGAUGAGGACUGAAAAAAUAAACCCUGACCAAAAGAAAAAAAAAAAAAAAAAAAAGGAAUGUUUUUACUGCAUAUAAAGGGACUGCGCCAUUUUGGAUUCCCAUUGGCAGUGCUUGAGAAUGUCCAAUUCUCCAGAGUCUCAUCAGUAUUGUAUGUUUUCAAUCUUUGGGAUUUUUCUAACUUGAUACACAAGAAAUGGUCUCUCAGUGUUGUUCAAAUAUGUAUUUCUUUUUCUGUGUUGAAGGUCUGUUUUCAUUUUUCCUACUAAAUUGCUUUGGCUAAUUUUUUCUCUCAGGGCCUUUUUUUUUUUUUUCAAUUUUUAAGAGCUCUCUAUAUAAUAGGCAUAUUAGUUGA
Molecule: long non-coding RNA, 676 nt
Organism: Mustela lutreola (European mink)
Lineage: Eukaryota; Metazoa; Chordata; Mammalia; Carnivora; Mustelidae
Exons: 3
Source: RefSeq, a predicted model, not a curated record